This 628-nucleotide ribosomal RNA is filed under the name Udeniomyces sp. PDD-28b-12. Its description in RNAcentral is "partial 26S ribosomal RNA". The record is from RNAcentral. Lineage: Eukaryota; Fungi; Basidiomycota; Tremellomycetes; Cystofilobasidiales; Mrakiaceae.
GUUUCAGACGGGUCGUUUAAAGCCAUUAUGCCAGCAUCCUAAGCGCGUUCGUGUCCGAAGACCGACCAUAAAGGCACGCUGCGUUCCUCAGUCCCGUCCGAUGCAUGUGAAAGAGGGCUAUAACACAUCCGAGGAUGCCACGUUCCCUCCAACUUUUUCCACCGGUCGAAACUGAUGCUGGCCUGUAGUCUGAGGAAUACACCGGCAGAACCGGCUGAACCUCAAACCACAUGACUGACUUCAAUCGUUUCCCUUUCAACAAUUUCACGUACUGUUUAACUCUCUUUCCAAAGUGCUUUUCAUCUUUCCCUCACGGUACUUGUUCGCUAUCGGUCUCUCGCCAAUAUUUAGCUUUAGAUGGAAUUUACCACCCAUUUUGAGCUGCAUUCCCAAACAACUCGACUCUUCGAGAGCGCAUCGCAGAGCAUAGAUGAUCUGUGUCAAGGACGGGAUUCUCACCCUCUAUGACGCCCUAUUCCAAGGGACUUGUACACAGGCCUACGCGGAAAACGCUUCUCUAGACUACAACUCGGACAAUCUUAGACUGCCAGAUUUUAAAUUUGAGCUCAUCCCGCUUCACUCGCCGUUACUAGGGGAAUCCUUGUUAGUUUCCUUUUCCUCCGAAGGG